GUGCAGCAGGCGCGAAACCUCCGCAAUGCGCUAACGCGCGACGGGGUCACCCCGAGUGCCAGCCGCUGAGGCUGGCUUUUCCCCAGUGUAAAAAGCUGGGGGAAUAAGCGGGGGGCAAGUUCUGGUGUCAGCCGCCGCGGUAAUACCAGCUCCGCGAGUGGUCGGGGCGUUUAUUGGGCCUAAAGCGUCCGUAGCCGGCCCAGCAAGUUCCUCCUUAAAUCCCAUGGCUCAACCAUGGGGCUGGGAGGAAUACUGCUGGGCUAGGGGGCGGGAGAGGCCGAGGGUAUUCCCGGGGUAGGGGCGAAAUCCUAUAAUCCCGGGAAGACCACCAAUGGCGGAGGCACUCGGCCAGAACGCGCCCGACGGUGAGGGACGAAAGCCAGGGGAGCAAAAGGGAUUAGAGACCCCUGUAGUCCUGGCUGUAAACGAUGCGGGCUAGGUGUUGGCUGAGCUUCGUGCUCAGCCAGUGCCGCAGGGAAGCCGCUAAGCCCGCCGCCUGGGGAGUACGGCCGCAAGGCUGAAACUUAAAGGAAUUGGCGGGGGAGCAC
RNAcentral lists this ribosomal RNA (548 nucleotides) under uncultured archaeon. RNAcentral's name for it is "bacterial SSU rRNA". It matches the Rfam family "Archaeal small subunit ribosomal RNA", at positions 330 to 879 of the family's 1478-position model. The record is from RNAcentral.